CAUUACAAAUUCGGAGUUAGCAAAUUUUGCUUGAAACUUGAGAAUACUGUAACUUGAAUAAAACGUGCUUAAAUCUCUUUACCCCGACCAAGAAAUAAGCGCAAUUCGUGCUUUACAUCGUAUGCUCAUUUUUCGAGUUUAUGAUAGCGGGAUUGAAAUACGAAACAAACCUAUGCCUGGCUGUGUAAGUUUCUAAUAAUUUUCAUCAAUUGUACCAUACAAUAAUUACAAUAAAUAUUAUAGUAGAGAAAAAGGAAAAAAAAAAAGAAAUGUAUUCAUGAGAGCAUUAUGUUAUUUCACAGUCGCCACCUGAUUGGUUAAGUAGCAUUCAAAGAUGGAAUUAGCAUAACCGCGUGUUAGUUCAAAGACGUUAUGUAGUCAGUAAAUCUGAUCAAGAGUACCCGGAGCAAAAGAUACUAAGAUUUUGACUAGCAAAUAGUGACUAGUACAAAAUAAAAACUUGCUCCGGCAUUAUCAGUGUGGUAUAUGGCUGGUUAUCCGAAACAGUCAAGAUCUUUUAAAAAGUCUAAACCGACGAAGUCAAAUCAAGGGAUGAAGUUGGGAAAUCAAGGCAUCAAGUUGGAAAACCUCAAAUGGAAAUCAAAAUUGGACAAGUGGAGAGAUUUAUUCAGUUAAAUCUAGGGAUCGAAUCGACAUUACGGUAAUUCCGUACCGCAGGUAUGAUCAGUCUAAUUUGACUUUUACACGAAAGGAAUAUUUACACGAGGAGCAGUUUAUCAAGUUUAUGGAAAAUAUGGAACAAUUUUGAAAUCAAAUAUCUAGAUCUCUAUAUCUAUUUAUAUGAACUUUCAAGCAAUAAUGCCGCCGAAAGUUGAUAUCAGUUUUCUCAUUUCUAAACGGGAUAAUUCCAUGAAAUUACUCAACGAAUUAUUUGAAGAAUUUAACAUCUUUUACAAGGAAACAAACUCUCAAACAUAGAACAUUUAUAUAAUGAAAUCGAAGAAAAGUAUAGAGGAAUUAAACUACAACAAGCUACAAUAGCCUAGAAGGCUUUUGAAGGAAAGAUUGUUGAACCUGAAAAUAAGGACAAAGUCUUGACAGACAACGAAAAAAAUAGGAAUCAAGUGAAACAUAACUUUUUAGAAUGCACAAAGUAUUUUACUGAGUUCUAAAAGAAAUUCGAAGAAAAAAAGGCGCUGAAAACCUGGGAAUGGCGAAAGUUGUGACAAGUGCAGUCACAGAAUUGUUGUCCAAAUUUUCAAGUAAAGGGGACGGGAAACUGGAAAAUAUUUCUCCCCCGAUGUGGGAUGGAAGAAGGAGAUCAUAUGCGACGUGGA
Molecule: RNA transcript, 1298 nt
Organism: Nematostella vectensis (starlet sea anemone)
Lineage: Eukaryota; Metazoa; Cnidaria; Anthozoa; Actiniaria; Edwardsiidae
Exons: 2
Source: RefSeq, a predicted model, not a curated record